UAUAAUAUAUAUUUGCUCUAUUUCUUUUUAAUAAUAACUUAUCUUCUCGAAUUAGUCAAAGAAGUGUUUAAAUAAUUAACAAUGAAGUUGUAAUCAUUUUUGUGGGCUACAUUUUAUAGUGGUAAAUAAUCUAGUAAAUUCGAAUUGGAGUCUUAUCGGAUUUGAAAUUCAAAUGUAUUGGCGGACAAAAAACGACGGGUUGACAGACAAGCUUGUAUAUUCCAAACAAAUAGAAGAAGUGAAUAUCAGAGAUUGUGAAAAUUAUGAUAAUUCAACAACUGUCGAAAGUUCAGAGGAGGAAGAUGAAAAUUAUUAAAAGGAAAAGAAGAAGAAAAACACACAAGAUUUUGUGACAGAUAGUGUGAAUGAUGAUAUCUCAGGUUGGAGACGGUAAAGGUUCAGAUUAUGAUAUACUUUAAAGUAUGCCCCAGAUUGCCAUAGUGUAGGUGGACGAAAGAAGAAUGCUAAUUAAGAUAUAUGAACAUUGCUAUUUGUAGUAAUAUCAAAAUAUUCACAAUAUUGUUCCAUUUAACAUUCAGAUAAAAAGUACAAAGAAAAAUAUACAAUCAGUGAGUUGGAUAGAUGAUCGGAAAAUCCCAACCUCAGGUUGAUCGGUUCAGUCGGAAAUAAGCCUUGGUGAUAUAAGAAAAACAUGCAUGAAUGUUAACCAUAAAAAAUGUCAGUGUUAAUGUUUAUGAAGAAUUUUGUAUAUCUAAAACAUGAUUAUUUAAUAUAUGAAGCGUUAUUUACGUACAUACUGUCAAGUUUAAUAGUUUCAUAAUACAUUAUGUUAAUGUUACAUUUGUUAUAGUACCGCAUUUAUUGUUUUGUACAUGUGAUUCGUAUUGCAAAUAAAUUGUUAAAAUUAUAAGAAUGC
Ruditapes philippinarum (Manila clam) is the source of this 877-nucleotide long non-coding RNA. RefSeq lists it as uncharacterized. The transcript has 3 exons. Lineage: Eukaryota; Metazoa; Mollusca; Bivalvia; Venerida; Veneridae. The record is from RefSeq and is a predicted model, not a curated record.